Molecule: ribosomal RNA, 111 nt
Filed under: Candidatus Pseudoramibacter fermentans
Lineage: Bacteria; Bacillati; Bacillota; Clostridia; Eubacteriales; Eubacteriaceae
Source: RNAcentral
UCCAGCGCCAUGGCAGGGGAGCCACACUGGUCCCAUUCCGAACCCAGAAUUAGCCCCCGAGCGCCGAUGGUACUGCGGAGGAGUCCGUGGGAGAGCAGGACGUCGCUGACC